RNAcentral lists this ribosomal RNA (510 nucleotides) under uncultured bacterium. RNAcentral's name for it is "partial 16S ribosomal RNA". It matches the Rfam family "Bacterial small subunit ribosomal RNA", at positions 28 to 507 of the family's 1533-position model. The record is from RNAcentral.
GACGAACGCUGGCGGCGUGCUUAACACAUGCAAGUCGAACGAAGAGCGAUGGAAGCUUGCUUUUAUCAAUCUUAGUGGCGAACGGGUGAGUAACGCGUAAUCAACCUGCCCUUCAGAGGGGGACAACAGUUGGAAACGACUGCUAAUACCGCAUACGAUCUAAUCUCGGCAUCGAGGAUAGAUGAAAGGUGGCCUCUACAUGUAAGCUAUCACUGAAGGAGGGGAGUGCGUCUGAUUAGCUAGUUGGAGGGGUAACGGCCCACCAAGGCGAUGAUCAGUAGCCGGUCUGAGAGGAUGAACGGCCACAUUGGGACUGAGACACGGCCCAGACUCCUACGGGAGGCAGCAGUGGGGAAUCUUCCGCAAUGGACGAAAGUCUGACGGAGCAACGCCGCGUGAGUGAUGACGGCCUUCGGGUUGUAAAGCUCUGUUAAUCGGGACGAAAGGCCUUCUUGCGAAUAGUGAGAAGGAUUGACGGUACCGGAAUAGAAAGCCACGGCUAACUACGUG